GGAGAGGUGGCCGAGUGGUUGAAGGCGCAGCACUGGAAAUGCUGUAAUGGGGUAACUUAUUCGUGGGUUCAAAUCCCACCCUCUCCG
RNAcentral lists this transfer RNA (87 nucleotides) under Gloeocapsopsis dulcis AAB1 = 1H9. RNAcentral's name for it is "tRNA-Ser". It matches the Rfam family "tRNA". From Rfam's summary of the family: Transfer RNA (tRNA) molecules are approximately 80 nucleotides in length. Their secondary structure includes four short double-helical elements and three loops (D, anti-codon, and T loops). The record is from RNAcentral. RNAcentral also lists the same sequence under 1 other name. Lineage: Bacteria; Bacillati; Cyanobacteriota; Cyanophyceae; Chroococcidiopsidales; Chroococcidiopsidaceae.